This 473-nucleotide long non-coding RNA is filed under the name Equus caballus (horse). RNAcentral's name for it is "lncRNA (ENSECAG00000054499.1)". The record is from RNAcentral. Lineage: Eukaryota; Metazoa; Chordata; Mammalia; Perissodactyla; Equidae.
GAAGAGGGGAAUGGGGAAUGACUGCUAAGGCGUAUGGGUUUUGUUUGGGGUGAGGAAAAUAUCCUGGACUUAGAUAUUGGUGACGGUUGCACAACUCUUUAACCUAAAAGGGGAAGAAUUCUCAAUUUCCACACCAGAUGUGCAUGCCCAUUUACCUCCAGGAAAACACACAGAGAAAUAGCUGCAUUGAAGAUUCCUAACUUUACUAAGGGAAAGAAGACUGAAGAAUACAUCCUCCAGUGGAAAAUUCUGCUGAACCAUUUUCCUCCUCAAUUCACCUCAACUUGUUACUAGAAAGAGCUGUGAGUCGGGGCCAACUCAGAGUGUGGCACUCUUCUGAGGAAUGUGAUGUGCCUCAGAUAAUUUGCAUAGGCUUUUCUUGAAAGGCAGAAGAUGAAUACUAAUAAAUUUAAUUAGCCAGUGCUUUUCUUGAAAUGUAUCUGAAAGCAGAUGACAGAUCUCCAUAAUCAAAC